This 497-nucleotide ribosomal RNA is filed under the name uncultured bacterium. RNAcentral describes it as "partial 16S ribosomal RNA". It matches the Rfam family "Bacterial small subunit ribosomal RNA", at positions 28 to 507 of the family's 1533-position model. The record is from RNAcentral.
GAUGAACGCUGGCGGCGUGCCUAAUACAUGCAAGUCGAGCGAACAGACGAGGAGCUUGCUCCUCUGACGUUAGCGGCGGACGGGUGAGUAACACGUGAAUAACCUACCUAUAAGACUGGGAUAACUUCGGGAAACCGGAGCUAAUACCGGAUAAUAUAUUGAACCGCAUGGUUCAAUAGUGAAAGACGGUUUUGCUGUCACUUAUAGAUGGAUCCGCGCCGCAUUAGCUAGUUGGUAAGGUAACGGCUUACCAAGGCAACGAUGCGUAGCCGACCUGAGAGGGUGAUCGGCCACACUGGAACUGAGACACGGUCCAGACUCCUACGGGAGGCAGCAGUAGGGAAUCUUCCGCAAUGGGCGAAAGCCUGACGGAGCAACGCCGCGUGAGUGAUGAAGGUCUUCGGAUCGUAAAACUCUGUUAUUAGGGAAGAACAAAUGUGUUAGUAACUAUGCACGUCUUGACGGUACCUAAUCAGAAAGCCACGGCUAACUACGUG